Molecule: ribosomal RNA, 498 nt
Filed under: uncultured Coprobacillus sp.
Lineage: Bacteria; Bacillati; Bacillota; Erysipelotrichia; Erysipelotrichales; Coprobacillaceae
Description: bacterial SSU rRNA
Rfam family: Bacterial small subunit ribosomal RNA
Source: RNAcentral
UUUGAUCCUGGCUCAGGAUGAACGCUGGCGGCGUGCCUAAUACAUGCAAGUCGAACGCAUAUCUUCGGAUAUGAGUGGCGAACGGGUGAGUAAUACAUAAGUAACCUGGCCUUAAGAGGGGGAUAACUAUUAGAAAUGAUAGCUAAGACCGCAUAGGUAUGAAGAUCGCAUGAUCUACAUAUUAAAUAUCCCACGGGAUAGCUGAAGGAUGGACUUAUGGCGCAUUAGCUAGUUGGUAGGGUAACGGCCUACCAAGGCGACGAUGCGUAGCCGACCUGAGAGGGUGGACGGCCACACUGGGACUGAGACACGGCCCAGACUCCUACGGGAGGCAGCAGUAGGGAAUUUUCGGCAAUGGGGGAAACCCUGACCGAGCAACGCCGCGUGAGGGAGGAAGUAUUUCGGUAUGUAAACCUCUGUUAUAAAGGAAGAACGAUGCAUGUAGGGAAUGACAUGCAAGUGACGGUACUUUAUGAGGAAGCCACGGCUAACUACGUG